UACGAAGGGUGCAAACGUUGCUCGGAAUCAUUGGGCGUAAAGCGCACGUAGGCGGCCUGUUAAGUCGGAUGUGAAAUCCCUCGGCUCAACCGAGGACGUGCAUUCGAAACUGGCAGGCUCGAGUAUGGAAGAGGGUCGCGGAAUUCCCGGUGUAGAGGUGAAAUUCGUAGAUAUCGGGAGGAACACCAGUGGCGAAGGCGGCGACCUGGGCCAAUACUGACGCUGAGGUGCGAAAGCUAGGGGAGCAAACGGG
RNAcentral lists this ribosomal RNA (253 nucleotides) under uncultured bacterium. RNAcentral describes it as "partial 16S ribosomal RNA". It matches the Rfam family "Bacterial small subunit ribosomal RNA", at positions 524 to 776 of the family's 1533-position model. The record is from RNAcentral.